This 433-nucleotide ribosomal RNA is filed under the name uncultured bacterium. RNAcentral describes it as "partial 16S ribosomal RNA". It matches the Rfam family "Bacterial small subunit ribosomal RNA", at positions 29 to 507 of the family's 1533-position model. The record is from RNAcentral.
AACGAACGCUGGCGGCAUGCCUAACACAUGCAAGUCGAACGAUCCCUUCGGGGCUAGUGGCGAACGGGUGCGUAACGCGUGGGAACCUGCCCUUAGGUUCGGAAUAACUCAGAGAAAUUUGAGCUAAUACCGGAUAAUGUCUUCGGACCAAAGAUUUAUCGCCUUUGGGUGGGCCCGCGUUGGAUUAGCUAGUUGGUGGGGUAAAGGCCUACCAAGGCGACGAUCCAUAGCUGGUCGGAGAGGAUGAUCAGCCACACUGGGACUGAGACACGGCCCAGACUCCUACGGGAGGCAGCAGUGGGGAAUAUUGGACAAGGGGCGAGAGCCUGAUCCAGCAAUGCCGCGUGAGUGAUGAAGGCCUUAGGGUUGUAAAGCUCUUUUACCCGGGAUGAUAAUGACAGUACCGGGAGAAUAAGCCCCGGCUAACUCCGUG